RNAcentral lists this ribosomal RNA (1244 nucleotides) under metagenome. Its description in RNAcentral is "bacterial LSU rRNA". It matches the Rfam family "Bacterial large subunit ribosomal RNA", at positions 1564 to 2818 of the family's 2925-position model. The record is from RNAcentral.
UGAAUACGAGACGCUAAGGCGUCGAAGUAGUGUAUGUCAUACUUCCAAGAAAAGCUUGCACUGUCAUAGAUAAAAAACGCCUGUACCAUAACCGACACAGGUGGGUAGGUAGAGUAUACUAAGGGGCGCGAGAUAACUCUCUCUAAGGAACUCGGCAAAAUAACUCCGUAACUUCGGGAGAAGGAGUGCCUUAUUCGUAAGGUUGCAAUAACAAGAUCCAAGCAACUGUUUAUCAAAAACACAGGUCUCCGCUAAGUCGUAAGACGAUGUAUGGGGGCUGACGCCUGCCCAGUGCCAGAAGGUUAAAGAAGUUGGUUAGCAAUUGCGAAGCUGAUAACUGAAGCCCUGGUGAACGGCGGCCGUAACAAUAACGGUCCUAAGGUAGCGAAAUUCCUUGUCGGGUAAGUUCCGACCCGCACGAAAGGCGUAAUGAUUUGGAUACUGUCUCGGAGAGGGGCUCGGUGAAAUAGACUUGUCUGUGAAGAUGCGGACUACCUGCACCAGGACAGAAAGACCCUAUGAAGCUUUACUGUAACUUGAAGUUGAAAUUGGACUUUAUUCGCGCAGUAUAGGUGGGAGGCGUUGAUUAUAAUCUUGUGGGAUUAUUGGAGCCAUCAGUGAGAUACCACUCUUGUAAUGUUAGAUUUCUAACUUUGAAUCAUUAUCUGGUCAAAGAACAGUUUCAGGCGGGCAGUUUGACUGGGGCGGUCGCCUCCUAAACGGUAACGGAGGCGUACAAAGGUUUCCUCUGAACGGUUAGAAAUCGUAUCUAGAGUGUAAAGGCAUAAGGAAGCUUGACUGUGAGACCUACAAGUCGAGCAGGGACGAAAGUCGGUCUUAGUGAUCUGACGGUACUGAGUGGAAAGGCCGUCACUCAACGGAUAAAAGUUACUCUAGGAUAACAGGCUGAUCUCCCCCAAGAGUUCACAUCGACGGGGAGGUUUGGCACCUCGAUGUCGGCUCAUCGCAUCCUGGGGCGGUAGUACGUCCCAAGGGUUGGGCUGUUCGCCCAUGAAAGCGGUACGCGAGCUGGGUUCAGAACGUCGUGAGACAGUUCGGUCCAUAUCCGGUGUAGGCGUUAGAAUAUUGAGAGGAGCCUUCUUUAGUACGAGAGGACCGAGAAGGACAUACCUCUGGUGUACCAGUUAUCGUGCCAACGGUAAACGCUGGGUAGCUAUGUAUGGAGUGGAUAACCGCUGAAAGCAUCUAAGUGGGAAGCCCACCUCAAGAUAAGUAUUCUCAUC